This 253-nucleotide ribosomal RNA is filed under the name uncultured bacterium. RNAcentral's name for it is "partial 16S ribosomal RNA". It matches the Rfam family "Bacterial small subunit ribosomal RNA", at positions 524 to 776 of the family's 1533-position model. The record is from RNAcentral.
UACGGAGGGAGCUAGCGUUGUUCGGAAUUACUGGGCGUAAAGCGCACGUAGGCGGCUUUUUAAGUCAGGGGUGAAAUCCCGGGGCUCAACCCCGGAACUGCCUUUGAUACUGAAAGUCUUGAGUAUGGGAGAGGUGAGUGGAACUGCGAGUGUAGAGGUGAAAUUCGUAGAUAUUCGCAAGAACACCAGUGGCGAAGGCGGCUCACUGGCCCAUAACUGACGCUGAGGCACGAAAGCGUGGGGAGCAAACAGG